UGUACUCCUCUCUGGGUUGAAGGUAGGGUGAGACUGUCAUUACUGUACUCCUCUCUGGGUUGAAGGUAGGGUGAGACUGUCAUUACUGUACUCUGGGUUGAAGGUAGGGUGAGACUGUCAUUACUGUACUCUGGGUUGAAGGUAGGGUGAGACUGUCAUUACUGUACUCUGGGUUGAAGGUGGGGUGAGACUGUCAUUACUGUACUCUGGGUUGAAGGUGGGGUGAGACUGUCAUUGCUGUACUCCUCUCUGGGUUGAAGGUGGGGUGAGACUGUCAUUGCUGUACUCCUCUCUGGGUUGAAGGUGGGGUGAGACUGUCAUUACUGUACUCCUCUCUGGGUUGAAGGUGGGGUGAGACUGUCAUUACUGUACUCCUCUCUGGGUUGAAGGUGGGGUGAGACUGUCAUUACUGUACUCCUCUCUGGGUUGAAGGUGGGGUGAGACUGUCAUUACUGUACUCCUCUCUGGGUUGAAGGUGGGGUGAGACUGUCAUUACUGUACUCUGGGUUGAAGGUAGGGUGAGACUGUCAUUACUGUACUCCUCUCUGGGUUGAAGGUAGGGUGAGACUGUCAUUACUGUACUCCUCUCUGGGUUGAAGAUGGGGUGAGACUGUCAUUGCUGUACUCCUCUCUGGGUUGAAGGUGGGGUGAGACUGUCAUUACUGUACUCUGGGUUGAAGGUAGGGUGAGACUGUCAUUACUGUACUCCUCUCUGGGUUGAAGGUGGGGUGAGACUGUCAUUACUGUACUCCUCUCUGGGUUGAAGGUAGGGUGAGACUGUCAUUACUGUACUCCUCUCUGGGUUGAAGGUAGGGUGAGACUGUCAUUACUGUACUCUGGGUUGAAGGUGGGGUGAGACUGUCAUUACUGUACUCUGGGUUGAAGGUGGGGUGAGACUGUCAUUACUGUACUCCUCUCUGGGUUGAAGGUGGGGUGAGACUGUCAUUACUGUACUCCUCUCUGGGUUGAAGGUGGGGUGAGACUGUCAUUACUGUACUCCUCUGGGUUGAAGGUAGGGUGAGACUGUCAUUGCUGUACUCCUCUCUGGGUUGAAGGUAGGGUGAGACUGUCAUUACUGUACUCUGGGUUGAAGGUAGGGUGAGACUGUCAUUACUGUACUCCUCUCUGGGUUGAAGAUGGGGUGAGACUGUCAUUGCUGUACUCCUCUCUGGGUUGAAGGUGGGGUGAGACUGUCAUUACUGUACUCUGGGUUGAAGGUGGGGUGAGACUGUCAUUACUGUACUCCUCUCUGGGUUGAAGGUAGGGUGAGACUGUCAUUACUGUACUCCUCUCUGGGUUGAAGGUAGGGUGAGACUGUCAUUACUGUACUCUGGGUUGAAGGUGGGGUGAGACUGUCAUUACUGUACUCCUCUGGGUUGAAGGUAGGGUGAGACUGUCAUUACUGUACUCCUCUCUGGGUUGAAGGUGGGGUGAGACUGUCAUUACUGUACUCCUCUCUGGGUUGAAGGUGGGGUGAGACUGUCAUUACUGUACUCCUCUCUGGGUUGAAGGUGGGGUGAGACUGUCAUUACUGUACUCUGGGUUGAAGGUGGGGUGAGACUGUCAUUACUGUACUCCUCUGGGUUGAAGGUGGGGUGAGACUGUCAUUGCUGUACUCCUCUCUGGGUUGAAGGUAGGGUGAGACUGUCAUUACUGUACUCCUGUCUGGGUUGAAGGUAGGGUGAGACUGUCAUUACUGUACUCUGGGUUGAAGGUAGGGUGAGACUGUCAUUACUGUACUCUGGGUUGAAGGUAGGGUGAGACUGUCAUUGCUAUACUCCUCUCUGGGUUGAAGGUAGGGUGAGACUGUCAUUACUGUACUCCUCUCUGGGUUGAAGGUAGGAUGAGACUGUCAUUACUGUACUCCUCUCUGGGUUGAAGGUAGGAUGAGACUGUCAUUACUGUACUCCUCUCUGGGUUGAAGGUAGGAUGAGACUGUCAUUACUGUACUCUCUGGGUUGAAGGUAGGAUGAGACUGUCAUUACUGUACUCCUCUCUGGGUUGAAGGUAGGGUGAGACUGUCAUUACUGUACUCCUCUCUGGGUUGAAGGUAGGGUGAGACUGUCAUUACUGUACUCCUCUCUGGGUUGAAGGUAGGAUGAGACUGUCAUUACUGUACUCCUCUCUGGGUUGAAGGUAGGGUGAGACUGUCAUUACUCCUCUCUGGGGUGAAGGUAGGGUGAGACUGUCAUUACUCCUCUCUGGGUUGAAGGUAGGAUGAGACUAAGGAGUUAUAUUUAUUUUGCUGUAGUCUUCAGUACUGAAGUCACUCAGUUGUUCUAUUAGCUGUAGUGAGAUCUGUAAACGUGUCCGUUUGUCUGAGGUAAGAUACAUGACCUAAAAACACUAUCGAUCAAUCGUACAUUUUCAUAAAAUGUAAAGUGUGUGUGUAUAUAUAUAUAUAUAUAUAUUCAUUGGAUGGUUUGUACUGAAGAUCUGACCAACAGUGGCUGGUUGCUGUGCAUUGUGGUUCACUGUCAUUCAUUUUAAUUUGUUGUCUCGGUGUGUGAAGUCUGGAAGGAAUUCCUCGGGUUUGUUAGACAGAGUCUUACAACACGGUUAACCUGUACUGGCUAAUAAAAUAAUGUCUGAAAAACA
This is a long non-coding RNA of Salvelinus fontinalis (brook trout), 2598 nucleotides long. RefSeq lists it as uncharacterized. The transcript is spliced from 3 exons. NCBI's taxonomy places the organism in Eukaryota, Metazoa, Chordata, Actinopteri, Salmoniformes, Salmonidae. The record is from RefSeq and is a predicted model, not a curated record.